RNAcentral lists this ribosomal RNA (253 nucleotides) under uncultured bacterium. Its description in RNAcentral is "partial 16S ribosomal RNA". It matches the Rfam family "Bacterial small subunit ribosomal RNA", at positions 524 to 776 of the family's 1533-position model. The record is from RNAcentral.
UACAGGGACUGCAAGCGUUAUUCGGAUUCACUGGGCGUAAAGGGUGCGCAGGCGGUCGGGUGUGUCAGAUGUGAAAUCCCGAGGCUCAACCUCGGAACUGCGUCUGAAACUACUCGACUAGAGUACUGGAGAGGGUAACGGAAUUCACGGUGUAGCAGUGAAAUGCGUAGAUAUCGUGAGGAACACCAGAGGCGAAGGCGGUUACCUGGACAGUUACUGACGCUCAGGCACGAAAGCAUGGGGAGCAAAAGGG